GUGCCAGCCGCCGCGGUAAAACGUAGGAGCCUAGCGUUAUCCGAAUUUACUGGGCGUAAAGCGCGUGCAGGCGGUUCGAUAAGUUGGGUGUGAAAUCUCCUGGCUCAACUGGGAGAGGUCGCUCAAUACUGUCGGACUCGAGGAUGGUAGAGGGAGGUGGAAUUCCCGGUGUAGUGGUGAAAUGCGUAGAUAUCGGGAGGAACACCAGUGGCGAAAGCGGCCUCCUGGACCAUUCCUGACGCUCAGACGCGAAAGCUAGGGGAGCAAACGGGAUUAGAAACCCUAGUAGUCC
Molecule: ribosomal RNA, 292 nt
Filed under: uncultured bacterium
Lineage: Bacteria
Description: partial 16S ribosomal RNA
Rfam family: Bacterial small subunit ribosomal RNA
Source: RNAcentral